This 272-nucleotide ribosomal RNA is filed under the name uncultured bacterium. RNAcentral's name for it is "partial 16S ribosomal RNA". It matches the Rfam family "Bacterial small subunit ribosomal RNA", at positions 524 to 794 of the family's 1533-position model. The record is from RNAcentral.
UACGGAGGGUCCCAAGCGUUAUCCGGAUUUAUUGGGUUUAAAGGGUCCGCAGGCGGGAAAAUAAGUCAGUGGUGAAAUUCUAUUGCUUAACGAUAGAACUGCCAUUGAUACUGUUUUUCUUGAGUGUAAUUGAAGUGGGCGGAAUGUGUCGUGUAGCGGUGAAAUGCAUAGAUAUGACACAGAACACCGAUUGCGAAGGCAGCUCACUAAAUUAUUACUGACGCUCAGGGACGAAAGCGUGGGGAGCAAACAGGAUUAGAUACCCCAGUAGU